CAGGUUUCUAACCUUUUUUUUUUUUUUCUUUUUUUUCCCCAAAAGGCUGUUUCAGUUGCUCACAUUUGUCUUAAUUUCUAAUCUCUUCAAACCUGCAGACCAAGCGCAAAGAAAAUAAUUUUCAUUUUUAGCUCAGGGACAAGCUGUGCAGGUGAAGAGAAUUCAUCCAGAGAACGCAAACCUGGAGUGAUGGGUCUCAAUGUGACAUCAGACAAUCCAGCCCUUGGUGGGUCACAUCCUGGAUGUCCCCACCUGGUGCCACUGGGUCCAGGCAGUAUGGAGGUGAUCUGGAUUUGCUCCUGCGAUGGGAUUCACCUCCCAAAAAGUGGAUGUCAGUUUGAUGUUAUCGCCUACUCAGCAAGUAAGUCCCUUUAUUGA
Molecule: long non-coding RNA, 378 nt
Filed under: Phasianus colchicus (ring-necked pheasant)
Lineage: Eukaryota; Metazoa; Chordata; Aves; Galliformes; Phasianidae
Description: lncRNA (ENSPCLG00000018138.1)
Source: RNAcentral